Molecule: long non-coding RNA, 1017 nt
Filed under: Homo sapiens (human)
Lineage: Eukaryota; Metazoa; Chordata; Mammalia; Primates; Hominidae
Description: non-protein coding lnc-KCNC2-2:21
Source: RNAcentral
AAGGCGCGGAACUACUCAGUGGUGAAGGCUGUGCGGACACUGGGGGCCCGCCAGGGGUUUGGCCCCUUACUCAACCCAACCACGGUCCUCUCCGGCGCAGGCCGAUUUGAGGACCUAGACUCCUUGAUGCUGACGGCCUGAGGGGGCUCCCGGGUGCCGGAUAUCUGACACAGGCCAGGGAGGCUCCCCUGGGAGACCUGGCAGGCCUGGAGGUGUGAGUCGGCUCUGAGCAGCUGCUCUGGGAGAGCCAGUCCACGGAGCCAAAGCUGGAGGGCAGCUGCCGGCCACAAGUUGGGGAGGAGGAGAGACGCAAGGCCGUCAGAUGCUUGUCCUGGAAACCAACCAUGAGCUGUGAUGAAAUCCAGGCAACUGAGUUGUGUUUCAGCCCAAAGCAGCAAAUGGAAUCCAGCUUCAGGACCAUCAUCUGACAUAGGGGAAGAAGACUUACAUAGAAGGCCUAACCAGCACCCAAGAUCAUGCUCAUAGGUGGAGGAGACUUGCUUUGUCUCAGAUGAGACUUUGGACUGUGGACUUUUGAGUUAAUGCUGAAAUGAGUUGAGACUUUGGGGAACUGUUGGGAAGGCAUGAUUGGUUUUAAAUAUGAAUAUAUGAGAUUUGGGAGGGGGUCAGGGGUGGAAUGAUAUGGUUUGGCUCUGUGUCCCCACCCAAAUCUCAUCUUGUAGCUCCCAUAAUCCUCCCAUGUUGUGGGAGGGACCCAGUGGGAGAUGAUUGAAUCAUGAGGGCGGGUCUUUCUCAUGCUGUUCAUGAUCCCAUUCAUGUGAGAAAGACCCAUGUGAUCAUGAAUGGGUCUCACAAGAUCUGAUGGUGUUAAAAAUGGGAGUUUCUCUGCACAAGCUCUCUGCCUGCUGCCAUUCACAAAGGAUGUGACUUGCUUCUCCUUGCCUUCUGCUAUGAUUGUGAGGCCUCCCUAGCCAUGUGGAACUGUGAGUCCAAUUAAACCUCUUUCUUUUGUAAAUUGACUAGUCUCGGGUGUGUCUUUAUCAGCAAUGUGAAAAA